GGGUUGUGAGGUUAAGCGACUAAGCGUACACGGUGGAUGCCCUGGCAGUCAGAGGCGAUGAAGGACGUGCUAAUCUGCGAAAAGCGUCGGUAAGGUGAUAUGAACCGUUACAGCCGGCGAUGUCCGAAUGGGGAAACCCAGUGCAAUUCGUUGCACUAUCGUUAACUGAAUACAUAGGUUAACGAGGCGAACCGGGGGAACUGAAACAUCUAAGUACCCCGAGGAAAAGAAAUCAACCGAGAUUCCCCCAGUAGCGGCGAGCGAACGGGGAGCAGCCCAGAGUCUGAAUCAGCUUGUGUGUUAGUGGAACGGUCUGGAAAGUCCGACGGUACAGGGUGAUAGUCCCGUACACCAAAAUGCACAGGUUGUGAACUCGAAGAGUAGGGCGGGACACGUGGUAUCCUGUCUGAAUAUGGGGGGACCAUCCUCCAAGGCUAAAUACUCCUGACUGACCGAUAGUGAACCAGUACCGUGAGGGAAAGGCGAAAAGAACCCCGGCGAGGGGAGUGAAAAAGAACCUGAAACCGUGUACGUACAAGCAGUGGGAGCACCUUCGGGUGUGACUGCGUACCUUUUGUAUAAUGGGUCAGCGACUUAUAUUCUGUAGCAAGGUUAACCGUAUAGGGGAGCCGCAGGGAAACCGAGUCUUAACUGGGCGUUAAGUUGCAGGGUAUAGACCCGAAACCCGGUGAUCUAGCCAUGGGCAGGUUGAAGGUUGGGUAACACUAACUGGAGGACCGAACCGACUAAUGUUGAAAAAUUAGCGGAUGACUUGUGGCUGGGGGUGAAAGGCCAAUCAAACCGGGAGAUAGCUGGUUCUCCCCGAAAGCUAUUUAGGUAGCGCCUCGUGAACUCAUCUUCGGGGGUAGAGCACUGUUUCGGCUAGGGGGUCAUCCCGACUUACCAACCCGAUGCAAACUACGAAUACCGAAGAAUGUUAUCACGGGAGACACACGGCGGGUGCUAACGUCCGUCGUGAAGAGGGAAACAACCCAGACCGCCAGCUAAGGUCCCAAAGUCAUGGUUAAGUGGGAAACGAUGUGGGAAGGCACAGACAGCCAGGAUGUUGGCUUAGAAGCAGCCAUCAUUUAAAGAAAGCGUAAUAGCUCACUGGUCGAGUCGGCCUGCGCGGAAGAUGUAACGGGGCUAAACCAUGCACCGAAGCUGCGGCAGCGACACUAUGUGUUGUUGGGUAGGGGAGCGUUCUGUAAGCCUGCGAAGGUGACCUGUGAGGGUUGCUGGAGGUAUCAGAAGUGCGAAUGCUGACAUAAGUAACGAUAAAGCGGGUGAAAAGCCCGCUCGCCGGAAGACCAAGGGUUCCUGUCCAACGUUAAUCGGGGCAGGGUGAGUCGACCCCUAAGGCGAGGCCGAAAGGCGUAGUCGAUGGGAAACAGGUUAAUAUUCCUGUACUUGGUGUUACUGCGAAGGGGGACGGAGAAGGCUAUGUUAGCCGGGCGACGGUUGUCCCGGUUUAAGCAUGUAGGCUGGUUAUCCAGGCAAAUCCGGAUAAUCAAGGCUGAGGUGUGAUGACGAGGCACUACGGUGCUGAAGUAACAAAUGCCCUGCUUCCAGGAAAAGCCUCUAAGCAUCAGGUAACAUCAAAUCGUACCCCAAACCGACACAGGUGGUCAGGUAGAGAAUACCAAGGCGCUUGAGAGAACUCGGGUGAAGGAACUAGGCAAAAUGGUGCCGUAACUUCGGGAGAAGGCACGCUGGUGUGUAGGUGAAGUCCCUGCGGAUGGAGCUGAGACCAGUCGAAGAUACCAGCUGGCUGCAACUGUUUAUUAAAAACACAGCACUGUGCAAACACGAAAGUGGACGUAUACGGUGUGACGCCUGCCCGGUGCCGGAAGGUUAAUUGAUGGGGUUAUCCGUAAGGAGAAGCUCUUGAUCGAAGCCCCGGUAAACGGCGGCCGUAACUAUAACGGUCCUAAGGUAGCGAAAUUCCUUGUCGGGUAAGUUCCGACCUGCACGAAUGGCGUAAUGAUGGCCAGGCUGUCUCCACCCGAGACUCAGUGAAAUUGAACUCGCUGUGAAGAUGCAGUGUACCCGCGGCAAGACGGAAAGACCCCGUGAACCUUUACUAUAGCUUGACACUGAACAUUGAGCCUUGAUGUGUAGGAUAGGUGGGAGGCUUUGAAGCGUGGACGCCAGUCUGCGUGGAGCCAACCUUGAAAUACCACCCUUUAAUGUUUGAUGUUCUAACGUUGGCCCCUUACCGGGGUUGCGGACAGUGUCUGGUGGGUAGUUUGACUGGGGCGGUCUCCUCCCAAAGCGUAACGGAGGAGCACGAAGGUUAGCUAAUCCUGGUCGGACAUCAGGAGGUUAGUGCAAUGGCAUAAGCUAGCUUGACUGCGAGCGUGACGGCGCGAGCAGGUGCGAAAGCAGGUCAUAGUGAUCCGGUGGUUCUGAAUGGAAGGGCCAUCGCUCAACGGAUAAAAGGUACUCCGGGGAUAACAGGCUGAUACCGCCCAAGAGUUCAUAUCGACGGCGGUGUUUGGCACCUCGAUGUCGGCUCAUCACAUCCUGGGGCUGAAGUAGGUCCCAAGGGUAUGGCUGUUCGCCAUUUAAAGUGGUACGCGAGCUGGGUUUAGAACGUCGUGAGACAGUUCGGUCCCUAUCUGCCGUGGGCGCUGGAGAAUUGAGGGGGGCUGCUCCUAGUACGAGAGGACCGGAGUGGACGCAUCACUGGUGUUCGGGUUGUCAUGCCAAUGGCACUGCCCGGUAGCUAAAUGCGGAAGAGAUAAGUGCUGAAAGCAUCUAAGCACGAAACUUGCCCCGAGAUGAGUUCUCCCUGAGACUUUAAGUCUCCUGAAGGAACGUUAAAGACGAUGACGUUGAUAGGCCGGGUGUGUAAGCGCAGCGAUGCGUUGAGCUAACCGGUACUAAUGAACCGUGAGGCUUAACCUUACAACGCCGAAG
This 2922-nucleotide ribosomal RNA is filed under the name Klebsiella pneumoniae subsp. pneumoniae. Its description in RNAcentral is "bacterial LSU rRNA". It matches the Rfam family "Bacterial large subunit ribosomal RNA". Lineage: Bacteria; Pseudomonadati; Pseudomonadota; Gammaproteobacteria; Enterobacterales; Enterobacteriaceae. The record is from RNAcentral.